This 377-nucleotide ribosomal RNA is filed under the name uncultured bacterium. RNAcentral's name for it is "bacterial SSU rRNA". It matches the Rfam family "Bacterial small subunit ribosomal RNA", at positions 9 to 352 of the family's 1533-position model. The record is from RNAcentral.
GAGUUUGAUCAUGGCUCAGGACGAACGCUGGCGGCGUGCCUAACACAUGCAAGUCGAACGUGAAACCAGCCUUUGAUUCCUUCGGGAUGAUAAGGCCGGUAGAAAGUGGCGAACGGGUGAGUAACGCGUGGGUAAUCUACCCUGUAAGUGGGGGAUAACCCUCCGAAAGGAGGGCUAAUACCGCAUAACAUCUUCCCUUCAUAAGAAGGAGAGAUUAAAGAUGGCCUCUUUAUAUGCUAUCACUUCAGGAUGAGUCCGCGUCCUAUUAGUUAGUUGGUAGGGUAAUGGCCUACCAAGACCACAAUGGGUAGCCGGUCUGAGAGGAUGUACGGCCACACUGGGACUGAGAUGCGGCCCAGACUCCUACGGGAGGCAGC